This 22-nucleotide microRNA is filed under the name Callorhinchus milii (elephant shark). Its description in RNAcentral is "eshark_NOVEL_128". Lineage: Eukaryota; Metazoa; Chordata; Chondrichthyes; Chimaeriformes; Callorhinchidae. The record is from RNAcentral.
CCUCCCAUCUACAUGCCGGAGU